UAGGAGGUGUCUUUGAUUUUGCUGAGUCUGACAUGGCUGCAGUAAGGAGAUGGUGGUGCUUGCUCCUGCUAACAAAUUAUCCUGUGAAAUCAGAUGCUGAAAGAAAGCUACUCAGAAAAAGGCUCAAAGAAAUGAAGAC
Long non-coding RNA from Megalobrama amblycephala (Wuchang bream), 139 nucleotides. RefSeq lists it as uncharacterized. NCBI's taxonomy places the organism in Eukaryota, Metazoa, Chordata, Actinopteri, Cypriniformes, Xenocyprididae. The transcript has 3 exons. The record is from RefSeq and is a predicted model, not a curated record.